AACCUAGCACACCUGCGGUGUGUACCUGCGGAAGGAUCAUUACAGAGUUAUCCAACUCCCAAACCCAUGUGAACUUAUCUCUUUGUUGCCUCGGCGCAAGCUACCCGGGACCCCGCGCCCCGGGCGGCCCGCCGGCGGACAAACCAAAACUCUUGUUAUCUUAGUUGAUUCUCUGAGCGUCUUAUUUAAUAAGUCAAAACUUUUAGCAACGGAUCU
RNAcentral lists this unclassified non-coding RNA (216 nucleotides) under soil metagenome. RNAcentral's name for it is "partial contains 5.8S ribosomal RNA, internal transcribed spacer 2, and large subunit ribosomal RNA". The record is from RNAcentral.